GACGACGGCGGAAAGCGUUAUGGAAAUGGGCUCAGAGCCGCUGUAGCCUCCGCGGACUCCACAUUCCAACCUCGCAAGCAUCGGCAUUUGGCCCACUUCUUAACGUGAGACAGUCCCUUUAACCAUCCGCAACCAUGUCCGACGAAGAGGAAUACUCUGAGGAGGAGGAAGAGACCCAAGUUGAUACG
Molecule: long non-coding RNA, 188 nt
Organism: Cryptotermes secundus
Lineage: Eukaryota; Metazoa; Arthropoda; Insecta; Blattodea; Kalotermitidae
Exons: 3
Source: RefSeq, a predicted model, not a curated record